This 2113-nucleotide ribosomal RNA is filed under the name Bacillus anthracis (anthrax bacterium). RNAcentral's name for it is "bacterial LSU rRNA". It matches the Rfam family "Bacterial large subunit ribosomal RNA", at positions 811 to 2925 of the family's 2925-position model. The record is from RNAcentral. Lineage: Bacteria; Bacillati; Bacillota; Bacilli; Caryophanales; Bacillaceae.
GUGGGUAGCGGAGAAAUUCCAAUCGAACCUGGAGAUAGCUGGUUCUCCCCGAAAUAGCUUUAGGGCUAGCCUUAAGUGUAAGAGUCUUGGAGGUAGAGCACUGAUUGGACUAGGGGUCCUCAUCGGAUUACCGAAUUCAGUCAAACUCCGAAUGCCAAUGACUUAUCCUUAGGAGUCAGACUGCGAGUGAUAAGAUCCGUAGUCAAAAGGGAAACAGCCCAGACCGCCAGCUAAGGUCCCAAAGUGUGUAUUAAGUGGAAAAGGAUGUGGAGUUGCUUAGACAACUAGGAUGUUGGCUUAGAAGCAGCCACCAUUUAAAGAGUGCGUAAUAGCUCACUAGUCGAGUGACUCUGCGCCGAAAAUGUACCGGGGCUAAAUACACCACCGAAGCUGCGGAUUGAUACCAAUGGUAUCAGUGGUAGGGGAGCGUUCUAAGGACAGUGAAGUCAGACCGGAAGGACUGGUGGAGUGCUUAGAAGUGAGAAUGCCGGUAUGAGUAGCGAAAGACGGGUGAGAAUCCCGUCCACCGAAUGCCUAAGGUUUCCUGAGGAAGGCUCGUCCGCUCAGGGUUAGUCAGGACCUAAGCCGAGGCCGACAGGCGUAGGCGAUGGACAACAGGUUGAUAUUCCUGUACCACCUCUUUAUCGUUUGAGCAAUGGAGGGACGCAGAAGGAUAGAAGAAGCGUGCGAUUGGUUGUGCACGUCCAAGCAGUUAGGCUGAUAAGUAGGCAAAUCCGCUUAUCGUGAAGGCUGAGCUGUGAUGGGGAAGCUCCUUAUGGAGCGAAGUCUUUGAUUCCCCGCUGCCAAGAAAAGCUUCUAGCGAGAUAAAAGGUGCCUGUACCGCAAACCGACACAGGUAGGCGAGGAGAGAAUCCUAAGGUGUGCGAGAGAACUCUGGUUAAGGAACUCGGCAAAAUGACCCCGUAACUUCGGGAGAAGGGGUGCUUUCUUAACGGAAAGCCGCAGUGAAUAGGCCCAAGCGACUGUUUAGCAAAAACACAGCUCUCUGCGAAGCCGUAAGGCGAAGUAUAGGGGGUGACACCUGCCCGGUGCUGGAAGGUUAAGGAGAGGGGUUAGCGUAAGCGAAGCUCUGAACUGAAGCCCCAGUAAACGGCGGCCGUAACUAUAACGGUCCUAAGGUAGCGAAAUUCCUUGUCGGGUAAGUUCCGACCCGCACGAAAGGUGUAACGAUUUGGGCACUGUCUCAACCAGAGACUCGGUGAAAUUAUAGUACCUGUGAAGAUGCAGGUUACCCGCGACAGGACGGAAAGACCCCGUGGAGCUUUACUGUAGCCUGAUAUUGAAUUUUGGUACAGUUUGUACAGGAUAGGCGGGAGCCUUUGAAACCGGAGCGCUAGCUUCGGUGGAGGCGCUGGUGGGAUACCGCCCUGACUGUAUUGAAAUUCUAACCUACGGGUCUUAUCGACCCGGGAGACAGUGUCAGGUGGGCAGUUUGACUGGGGCGGUCGCCUCCUAAAGUGUAACGGAGGCGCCCAAAGGUUCCCUCAGAAUGGUUGGAAAUCAUUCGUAGAGUGCAAAGGCAUAAGGGAGCUUGACUGCGAGACCUACAAGUCGAGCAGGGACGAAAGUCGGGCUUAGUGAUCCGGUGGUUCCGCAUGGAAGGGCCAUCGCUCAACGGAUAAAAGCUACCCCGGGGAUAACAGGCUUAUCUCCCCCAAGAGUCCACAUCGACGGGGAGGUUUGGCACCUCGAUGUCGGCUCAUCGCAUCCUGGGGCUGUAGUCGGUCCCAAGGGUUGGGCUGUUCGCCCAUUAAAGCGGUACGCGAGCUGGGUUCAGAACGUCGUGAGACAGUUCGGUCCCUAUCCGUCGUGGGCGUAGGAAAUUUGAGAGGAGCUGUCCUUAGUACGAGAGGACCGGGAUGGACGCACCGCUGGUGUACCAGUUGUUCUGCCAAGGGCAUAGCUGGGUAGCUAUGUGCGGAAGGGAUAAGUGCUGAAAGCAUCUAAGCAUGAAGCCCCCCUCAAGAUGAGAUUUCCCAUAGCGUAAGCUAGUAAGAUCCCUGAAAGAUGAUCAGGUUGAUAGGUUCGAGGUGGAAGCAUGGUGACAUGUGGAGCUGACGAAUACUAAUAGAUCGAGGACUUAACCAUAUAA